UUUUUUUAGCGUAUUGGCUGCAUUUUGUUCAACCUUUUCCUGUGAGUGGAUGUAGACCAGGUGAUCUUCAGGUGAUGACUGAGUGAAAACAGGUGAGCUGAUUACAGAUGAAAGGCAGGUGAGGAUGGAGCCGGAAGCAGAACCAACAGAGGGCAUUUAAAGCUUCACAAGCUUGGACAGAACCAGACAUAUUUAGGCUUUUAUUUUGAAGGAAGCGCCCGGAAGUCUCGCUUUGUUCUACCUCCGCGCGGCUUGUCGCUCCGACUCUGGUGGGAGAGGCUUCCUGUGAGUGAGGAGAGACAGGGUGGGUGAUGGAUGAAGGGACGGAGGAGUGGACCAGGUCAGGAGAGAGCUCAGAAACUGGUCCGAGGCGUCCUCGGUGAUCCGGAGCUGGGAGAACGGCAGACAGACGAACGCACGGUCCGGAUCUGGGCCCAGCCUGCCUCAGGAGACUCCACCUGCUCAUCUUUCUCACCCAGCAUCUGUGUGAGGGAUUCCUCACCUCCUGUCUCUCUCCCGUGCCGUGGACCUGCUGACCCAGUGGAGCUCCAGCGGCCCAUGGCCUCCGCUCAUCUCCACCAGUGAGCCAAGCUGGCCUCCGCCGCCUCGUCGCCUCCCCCGGCCCCAGACCUGGAUCCGGACCCCGAGCCCAGUCAGCGUCUCAGCAAAGAAGAGCAGUAUGUGAGCGAGGGCGAAUGUAGCCGGCUCGACGCACACCUGGAGCCGCCUCAGUGCAGGGAUGCUGAGACCAUCACAGGUAGGGUGGGGAUGGUCUUAGGAGUGCUUUGGUACGGUUCAUUUCAUCCAACUUUACUUAGAAAGUUCUUGAUGCCAGUCAGGAUGGAAAAUGUUGUUAGAACUAUCUUCAGAACGUUUGAACUCUUCACAUUUAAUAUAUCUUAA
Long non-coding RNA from Austrofundulus limnaeus, 903 nucleotides. RefSeq lists it as uncharacterized. The record is from RefSeq and is a predicted model, not a curated record. NCBI's taxonomy places the organism in Eukaryota, Metazoa, Chordata, Actinopteri, Cyprinodontiformes, Rivulidae. The transcript is spliced from 3 exons.